Molecule: ribosomal RNA, 253 nt
Filed under: uncultured bacterium
Lineage: Bacteria
Description: partial 16S ribosomal RNA
Rfam family: Bacterial small subunit ribosomal RNA
Source: RNAcentral
UACAGAGGUCUCAAGCGUUGUUCGGAUUCAUUGGGCGUAAAGGGUGCGUAGGUGGCGCCGUAAGUCGGGUGUGAAAUUUCGGAGCUUAACUCCGAAACUGCAUUCGAUACUGCGGUGCUUGAGGACUGGAGAGGAGACUGGAAUUCAUGGUGUAGCAGUGAAAUGCGUAGAGAUCAUGAGGAAGACCAGUGGCGAAGGCGGGUCUCUGGACAGUUCCCGACACUGAGGCACGAAGGCCAGGGGAGCAAACGGG